CUCGGUCUCCCAAAGUGCUGGGAUUACAGGUGUGAGCCACACCUGUAUUAUUUACAAUGGUUCUCCUACAUGCCAGGCUUUGUUUGGUAUGUGGAAAUAAAAACUGUGAUGAAUAAAUAAUAAACCACCUUCAAAUAACAUUAGGAUUAGAGCUGGGUGUGGUGGCUCAUGCCUGUAAUCCCAGCACUGUGGGAGGCUGUGGGAGGCUGAGGUGGGCCGAUCACGAGGUCAGGAGAUAGAGACCACCCUGGCCAACAUGGUGAAACCCUGUCUCUACUAAAAAUACAAAAAAUUAGCUGGGUGUGGUGGCGGACGCCUGUAAUCCCAGCUACUCGGGAGGCUGAGGCAGGACAAUCGCUUGAACCCAGGAGGUGAAGGUUGCAGUGAGCUGAGAUCGCACCACUGCACUCCAGCCUGGGUGACACAGCGAGAUUCCGUUUAAAAAGAAGGUACACUGGAAAGGGGCGGCAUGAGGGAGGCCAUGGUGGGAGAUGGUUCUGUA
This 502-nucleotide long non-coding RNA is filed under the name Homo sapiens (human). Its description in RNAcentral is "HSALNT0338991". Lineage: Eukaryota; Metazoa; Chordata; Mammalia; Primates; Hominidae. The record is from RNAcentral.